This 497-nucleotide ribosomal RNA is filed under the name uncultured bacterium. Its description in RNAcentral is "partial 16S ribosomal RNA". It matches the Rfam family "Bacterial small subunit ribosomal RNA", at positions 28 to 507 of the family's 1533-position model. The record is from RNAcentral.
GAUGAACGCUGGCGGCGUGCCUAAUACAUGCAAGUCGAGCGAACAGACGAGGAGCUUGCUCCUCUGACGUUAGCGGCGGACGGGUGAGUAACACGUGGAUAACCUACCUAUAAGACUGGGAUAACUUCGGGAAACCGGAGCUAAUACCGGAUAAUAUAUUGAACCGCAUGGUUCAAUAGUGAAAGACGGUUUUGCUGUCACUUAUAGAUGGAUCCGCGCCGCAUUAGCUAGUUGGUAAGGUAACGGCUUACCAAGGCAACGAUGCGUAGCCGACCUGAGAGGGUAAUCGGCCACACUGGAACUGAGACACGGUCCAGACUCCUACGGGAGGCAGCAGUAGGGAAUCUUCCGCAAUGGGCGAAAGCUUGACGGAGCAACGCCGCGUGAGUGAUGAAGGUCUUCGGAUCGUAAAACUCUGUUAUUAGGGAAGAACAAAUGCGUAAGUAACUAUGCACGUCUUGACGGUACCUAAUCAGAAAGCCACGGCUAACUACGUG